This 379-nucleotide unclassified non-coding RNA is filed under the name uncultured bacterium. RNAcentral describes it as "contains 16S-23S intergenic spacer region". The record is from RNAcentral.
UCCGGUUUGUCACCGGCAGUCUGAAGUGAGUCCCCAACUUAAUGCUGGCAACACUUCACGGGGGUUGCGCUCGUUGCGGGACUUAACCCAACAUCUCACGACACGAGCUGACGACAGCCGUGCAGCAUCUGUGCAUGGGCUCCGAAGAGCGGCCCUGAUCUCUCAAGACCUUCCCAUGCAUGUCAAGCCCAGGUAAGGUUCUUCGCGUUGCGUCGAAUUAAACCACAUGCUCCACCGCUCGUGCGGGCCCCCGUCAAUUCCUUUGAGUUUUAGCCUUGCGGCCGUACUCCCCAGGCGGGGCACUUAAUGCGUUAGCUACGGCGCGGAAAACGUGGAAUGUCCCCCACACCUAGUGCCCAACGUUUACGGCAUGGACUAC